Molecule: ribosomal RNA, 495 nt
Filed under: uncultured bacterium
Lineage: Bacteria
Description: partial 16S ribosomal RNA
Rfam family: Bacterial small subunit ribosomal RNA
Source: RNAcentral
GACGAACGCUGGCGGCGUGCCUAAUACAUGCAAGUAGAACGCUGAAGGAGUAGCUUUCUUCUCUGGAUGAGUUGCGAACGGGUGAGUAACGCGUAAGUAACCUGCCUGUGAGCGUGGGAUAACUAUUGGAAACGAUAGCUAAUACCGCAUAAUAGUAGAUGUCGCAUGACAUUGGCUGAAAAGUUUCAGUUGCAGCACUACCAGAUGGACCUGCGUUGUAUUAGCUAGUAGGUGAGGUAACGGCUCACCAAGGCAACGAUACAUAGUAGACCUGCGAGGGGGAUCGGCCACCCUGGGACGGUGACCCGCCACAGUGUGCUUCGGGAGGGAGCAGUAGGGCAUCUGCGGCAAGGGACGGAAGACAGACCGCGAAACGCCGAGGGCGUGAGGAAGGUUUUCGGAUCGUAAAGCUCUGUUGUCAGAGAAGAACCCGUGUGCGAGUGGAAAGUUCACACUGUGACGGUAAUUGACAAGAAAGGGACGGCUAACUACGUG